Molecule: ribosomal RNA, 476 nt
Filed under: uncultured Glomus
Lineage: Eukaryota; Fungi; Glomeromycota; Glomeromycetes; Glomerales; Glomeraceae
Description: SSU rRNA
Rfam family: Eukaryotic small subunit ribosomal RNA
Source: RNAcentral
AGCAGCCGCGGUAAUUCCAGCUCCAAUAGCGUAUAUUAAAGUUGUUGCAGUUAAAAAGCUCGUAGUUGAAUUUCGGGAUCAAUUAAUUGGUCGUGCCUCUGGUACGUACUGGUUUUAUUGGUUUCUCCCUUCUGACUAACCAUGAUGUCAUUAAUUUGGUGUCUUGGGGAAUCAGGACUGUUACUUUGAAAAAUUAAAGUGUUUAAAGCAGGCUCGCGCUUGAAUACAUUAGCAUGGAAUAAUGAAAUAGGACGUUUGAUUCUAUUUUGUUGGUUUCUAGGAUUGACGUAAUGAUUAAUAGGGAUAGUUGGGGGCAUUAGUAUUCAAUUGUCAGAGGUGAAAUUCUUGGAUUUAUUGAAGACUAACUACUGCGAAAGCAUUUGCCAAGGAUGUUUUCAUUAAUCAAGAACGAAAGUUAGGGGAUCGAAGACGAUCAGAUGCCGUCGUAGUCUUAACCAUAAACUAUGCCGACUAGG